This 253-nucleotide ribosomal RNA is filed under the name uncultured bacterium. Its description in RNAcentral is "partial 16S ribosomal RNA". It matches the Rfam family "Bacterial small subunit ribosomal RNA", at positions 524 to 776 of the family's 1533-position model. The record is from RNAcentral.
UACGGGGGGGGCAAGCGUUGUUCGGAAUUACUGGGCGUAAAGGGCUCGUAGGCGGCCAACUAAGUCGGACGUGAAAUCCCUCGGCUUAACCGGGGAACUGCGUCCGAUACUGGAUGGCUUGAGUUUGGGAGAGGGAUGCGGAAUUCCAGGUGUAGCGGUGAAGUGCGUAGAUAUCUGGAGGAACACCGGUGGCGAAGGCGGCAUCCUGGACCAACACUGACGCUGAGGAGCGAAAGCCAGGGGAGCAAACGGG